ACUCCUACGGGAGGCAGCAGUGAGGAAUUUUGCGCAAUGGGGGCAACCCUGAGGCAGCAACGCCGCGUGAGUGAGGAAGGUCUUAGGAUUGUAAAGCUCUGUCAGGUGGGAAGAAAUGUAUGGUGUCUAAUA
RNAcentral lists this ribosomal RNA (132 nucleotides) under uncultured bacterium. Its description in RNAcentral is "partial 16S ribosomal RNA". It matches the Rfam family "Bacterial small subunit ribosomal RNA", at positions 335 to 467 of the family's 1533-position model. The record is from RNAcentral.